This is a long non-coding RNA of Nerophis ophidion (straightnose pipefish), 1245 nucleotides long. RefSeq lists it as uncharacterized. Lineage: Eukaryota; Metazoa; Chordata; Actinopteri; Syngnathiformes; Syngnathidae. The record is from RefSeq and is a predicted model, not a curated record. The transcript is spliced from 3 exons.
UUACUCCUCAUGGACACAGGACUUCAGAUUCAUGCUCUGGAUUCAUGCGCCUCAAUUCAAGUUCCUUUUUGACCUUUCACCUUCCUGCCCGGUAGAGUCUUCCUCCCGGUUAAGGUACUCUUACAUAUCUGCUUGUCAUCUUGACUUACUAUUUCAAUGCAAGUGUUCCCUCAAUCGGUAAAAAAUACAACACUCAAAAUCAGUUGCCUUUGCAAAUUGUGUGACAUGUCGCCCUGUGAGGGCAGCCAUAACUGCGAUGUGGCCCCCUGUAAAAAUGAAUUUGACACCUCUGACAUAUACAACGCCUCUCACCUUGAUAGCAGAAGAUAGUAGAUUAUGAGGACAUAAUCAAACAAAUUGGUCAACUUUGGCAGCCAAUUUAUACCCAGGAAUGGAAUGUAUAAACACCCCUAACAGUCAGCAUCCCAGUGACAGCUGACAUUGUACAGGCCGCGGGGGGCGCUGGCGCCUAUCUCAGCUACAAUCGGGCGGAAGGCGGGGUACACCCUGGACAAGUCGCCACCUCAUCGCAGGGCCCUGCUCUGUUGUGUUGGGAGCAAUUGUUGCUGUCCAAAGUAUAUUAUACGUCACACCAGCUGACGUCUACUAAUGAUCCGAUUAUGGGUUCUGUAUCAAAGGCCAAUAAAUGCUGUGAUGCAACUUAACACUUUUUUUAAAUAAUUUUAAAGUGGAUAAAUAUCACCAAACCAUUUUCUUGAAGUCAUUAGUUGUUCCUCUUCCUGCUGCUGACUUAAAGAGAUGUCAUUACAUAUAUGUGAAGGUUGAAAAAAAACAGCAAAUUCCUUCACACUAUCGGAAAUGUAUGUAGUUUGUGUGGUGUGUGACAGUAAUGAUGGAUUGACUGUGGCGUGUCAGCGCUGAGCGUGAUGAUGGCCGACUGAAGCGUCUCACCUGUCGGUGCUGAGGGCGACGCGAGGGGACGACUGGCGCCGGCCCAGUCUAAACAGGAGUCAGCCCUUUGCUGUCUCAACAGGUCUGCUUCACGCUGUGCGAGGGUGGAACAGACAGAAGAAGAAGUCCAGAUAUUCGUAUACACAUGAGACCCUCCUCCCAUUUGCCCCCUUUAACUACCGAUGUUCAUGUGUGACUUUUCUCAUUUUUCAAGACCGUUAACACCCGCCCUUCCCCCCCUUCUCUGAGCGAGGGGCUUGUGUGAUCCCUCAAUGUGUGUGAGAGCGAUGGCGGAGACAAACCAUCUGCCGGGCUACAAUGUUCUGGAUCACG